RNAcentral lists this ribosomal RNA (483 nucleotides) under uncultured bacterium. Its description in RNAcentral is "partial 16S ribosomal RNA". It matches the Rfam family "Bacterial small subunit ribosomal RNA", at positions 30 to 507 of the family's 1533-position model. The record is from RNAcentral.
UUGAACGCUGGCGGCAGGCCUAACACCUGCAAGUCGAGCGGAUGAAGGGAGCUUGCUCCUGGAUUCAGCGGCGGACGGGUGAGUAAUGCCUAGGAAUCUGCCUGGUAGUGGGGGAUAACGUCCGGAAACGGGCGCUAAUACCGCAUACGUCCUGAGGGAGAAAGUGGGGGAUCUUCGGACCUCACGCUAUCAGAUGAGCCUAGGUCGGAUUAGCUAGUUGGUGGGGUAAAGGCCUACCAAGGCGACGAUCCGUAACUGGUCUGAGAGGAUGAUCAGUCACACUGGAACUGAGACACGGUCCAGACUCCUACGUGAGGCAGCAGUGGGGAAUAUUGGACAAUGGGCGAAAGCCUGAUCCAGCCAUGCCGCGUGUGUGAAGAAGGUCUUCGGAUUGUAAAGCACUUUAAGUUGGGAGGAAGGGCAGUAAGUUAAUACCUUGCUGUUUUGACGUUACCAACAGAAUAAGCACCGGCUAACUUCGUG